CAGCUGGAUUUCCAGAGAAGUGUGUUCCUUGUGUCUCUGUAUCCUGCUUAGCGACAGGUGGAGCUCUUGUCCAGUGCAACUUAAGUGACUGCGAAAAACUUGGCUAACAAAUACCAGCCCCAGAAGUCACUCUAGUGUGUUCAGAGAAAGAAACCUGUUUUUCCUACAUAUCUUACUAAGGACAAAUACUAGAGACUGAUUUUCUCCAUGCUCACCAGCAAAUCAGAGAUAGUGUUCAUUUUGCUUAAGUGUUUUAAGGCUGUUGCUGAAGUGUUUCUUCUUAGUCAUUUUCCUUCAGGGCAGUACAAAGAAGUCCAGUCCAUCCACUUCUCCCUUCCCCACCUACACGGUAACAAGAUAACAAGCUGACAGCAGGUACCACUUCUUGCCUCCUUUAGUCAUAUUAGAGUUCUGUCUUUAUAAGUAUAUGCACAUCUUUAUUUCUGAGCUUUUCUAAUCCUAGGAACAGUUCAUUCUGAUUAGCAAAGUAAAGUAGAUGUGGGAGGCAGGACUGUUUGAAAACCAUUGAAUCAUGAUUUUGAAAUAAUUGAAGUUUCUCAAAAUUCAGACAUAAAACAAAUUUUUAUAUGCAUUAACAUUUGUGCUAAGAGAGUAUAUCUAAAUGGAGAAAGAAGAUAAGCAGGCUACAGAAAUCUUACAAACUUAGCUUGCCCACCCUCACUCAAGGGCUGAAAAAUAUAUGGUCUUUUUUUUUUUCACCUUGUGCUUUUAAUGAGAACAGAAAGAAGUAUGUCUAAAUUGAUUGGUAGCUCUGUGGUGAAUGUUUAGGAGCUAUCAAAAUUGAGAGACCUAGGGAAUUCAAUUACUGGAGUAGGGUAAUUGUGGUAAGAAUAAAACCUUAAAAGUUGUUAUGAAAGCUUUGCUGCCUGCUCAGACUUGGAAUUUAUACAGUACUCCUUGUCUGGUGCCAAGGAGAGGGUUUAGCAGUCAAUUCUGUCCCAGCUGCAGUCAUUUGAUUGUGUUGGUAAGGAGACCAACAAAAAGAAGAGCAUUUCAAUAAUCUAAACAGGACCAAACAAAGAGACUGAAUAAAGGUGUGUGCCACAGCUUCAGGGAGCGGGUGGUGGAAGGAGACAUGGCCUGGCAGCAUUCCGAAGGUGGGAAAUGGCAGGCUGCAGUGCAGAAGGAGUAAACAGCCAGGACCUGUGGCUUUGUAGCAAAAACAGAGUGGCCGAUGAUUUGUUAUGGUGCUGUCAGCACAUCCGUUCUUGUUCUUUGUAUACAAUAAUUGUGCAUUUGGCAAAUUGUGGCAAGAACAGAGAAUGACUGUUGAGAACUUUUGGAUUGCUGUCAGCAGUCAGACUGUGGUUCUGAAGAAAAGCCAUAGGUUCAAACCCAGAAACUGAGGAGGAACAUUGUGUUUUUCUUAACAGUUUUUCUCUUUUAGUUGUUAGUUGUCUAUAUAAUAUCUCCAUUCUUUCUCUCUCCCUUUCGUGUCCUAUGGCCACUUCCACAUAUACUCUUACCCAACCCCUUAAGCCUAAACUCUUCCCCUCUUAAUGACAGCAAUUGUUCAGGGCAUGUUUAUGGAUCAGUCUGCAAACAGGAAACUCUACUUCCUGAAUAUGAUGGGAGUUAAAUGAUAGUAACUGGAUAAGAUGAAAAUUUGUGAGUUAAGUGUUCUUUAAAGAUCUGUUGCUGAAAUGCUUUUCUUGUGAGAAGAGGAAGGAGAAAGCACAAGUUAGUGAGUGAGAGGAGCUUCACUGCAGAGAAACUCAAAGUCAGUCUUUCUGAAAAGCCCUGCUGUCUUUAUUGAAUUAACAUACAACUAGGGUUAACGACAUUUACCAGUCAACCUAUUUGCAGUCCUCCAAGAGAGCUAGUUUUGGGUUUAAAAAAAAAAAAA
Molecule: small RNA, 1867 nt
Filed under: Pongo abelii (Sumatran orangutan)
Lineage: Eukaryota; Metazoa; Chordata; Mammalia; Primates; Hominidae
Description: sense intronic
Source: RNAcentral